This 776-nucleotide non-coding RNA is filed under the name Heteropteryx dilatata (New Guinea walking stick). The record is from RNAcentral. Lineage: Eukaryota; Metazoa; Arthropoda; Insecta; Phasmatodea; Heteropterygidae.
UUAUGAUGUUAGUUUGAUUCUGGCUUUGGUAUUAAUUUUUUGGAAUUUAUACAUGUAAGUUUUUGCUUUGAGUAUAGUUUAUCUUUUUGUUUGCAGUGUUUAAUAUUGAAUGAUGAAGUUGUUUUUGAUUUGGAUAUUUAUAUUAAUAUUGUAUAUGUUUGUGCCAGCAUACGCGGUUAUACAAUAAAUAUAAGUUAAUAUUUUUGGUUAUUAAAAGUUUAAUAUUUAAUUUGAGUUUAUUAUUUUUGUUUUUAGGUGAAAUUUUAAUAUUUAUUAAUCUUUUUUUGAUUCUGUUGAAAUAUAAUAUAUAAACUAGGAUUAGAUACCCUAUUAUUUUAUACGUUAAUUGUUUACCUGGGUAAUAGUAGUUAUUUUCUUUAAACCUAAAGAAUUUGGCGGUAUUUUAGUCUAUUCAGAGGAAUUUGUCCCUUUAUCGAUAGUCCUCGUUUUAUCUUGCUUGAUUUGGUAAGUUCAGUAUGUAUAUCGCCGUUAUAAGCUUAUUUUUUGAGAAUUAAAAUUUGCUAAUUAUUUUAUUUUAUUAUAUUUCAGGUCAAGGUGCAGCUGAUAAUUAAGUGGUGAUGAAUUACAAUAUAAUUUAAAUAUAUGGAUUUGAUUAAGAAUAAUUUAGUCAUUGAAGGUGGAUUUGAUAGUAAUUUUGAUUAUAGUGUUAAUUUGAUUUAUAGCUCUAAAAUAAGUACAUAUCGCCCGUCACUCUCAAUUUAUUUGAGAUAAGUCGUAACAAAGUAGGUGUACUGGAAAGUGUAUCUAGAAUGUUU